Molecule: ribosomal RNA, 502 nt
Filed under: uncultured bacterium
Lineage: Bacteria
Description: partial 16S ribosomal RNA
Rfam family: Bacterial small subunit ribosomal RNA
Source: RNAcentral
AUUGAACGCUGGCGGCAGGCUUAACACAUGCAAGUCGAGCGGGGUGAUGGUGCUUGCACUAUCACUUAGCGGCGGACGGGUGAGUAAUGCUUAGGAAUCUGCCUAUUAGUGGGGGACAACAUCUCGAAAGGGAUGCUAAUACCGCAUACGUCCUACGGGAGAAAGCAGGGGAUCACUUGUGACCUUGCGCUAAUAGAUGAGCCUAAGUCGGAUUAGCUAGUUGGUGGGGUAAAGGCCUACCAAGGCGACGAUCUGUAGCGGGUCUGAGAGGAUGAUCCGCCACACUGGGACUGAGACACGGCCCAGACUCCUACGGGAGUCAGCAGUGGGGAAUAUUGGACAAUGGGGGAACCCUGAUCCAGCCAUGCCGCGUGUGUGAAGAAGGCCUUAUGGUUGUAAAGCACUUUAAGCGAGGAGGAGGCUCUUUUGGUUAAUACCCAAGAUGAGUGGACGUUACUCGCAGAAUAAGCACCGGCUAACUCUGUGCCAGCCGCCGCUGUAA